AAAAGCAAACCACAAAGGAUAAACUUAAUAAUAUUCUAACUGUAUAAUUCGUAUAAAAUUUUGGACUAUUUCGGCUAAUAACAAUUUCAUAAUAAAACUUGGAUAGAAGUUCUAAGUGUUUAAAGGAUGUUAAACCAAGUUUUGUAAAUCCUACUUUGUCUUCAAAAAAUUCUAAUAAAUUAUAAAAUCUGAUAUCCUAAAUCUUUGACAUUCCAUUUUUGAUAAAUUUCCAAUUAAAUACCAACAAUUAGUUUUUUAGUGCUUUUGAUAUAGGCAGUGGUGUAUGUUUUAAAUUAUUGAUCUAGCUUCACUUAUGUAUUUGUCAAAAUUGCAAUCAAAUGUUAUCUACAAAAAUGUGUUUUCCACCUUUUUAUAUUCAUAUUUUUAUUUCUAAAUUACAUAUAUAAACGUGCCACAUUUUCUAAAACUAGAGGAAAAUCAACUGCAGAAACCGGUUUAAAUAUACCUAAGGCACAAGCUUGCUGAUAACAGGCACAAAAAAUGAGAUGAUCUCAUUUAUUCUCGGCUUUUUUACUUUCACUAUCAAACGUCCUAGCUCAAGGUUAUCCUUGUAUGAGUUAUGUCGGCCAGUAAAUACGUAUAUUGUGAACAGUUUGUCAGUGUUGUUUUCGUCCUUUAAAAUGUAAGUAACGCGAUGUGGUUGUAGUUUGCGAGUUUGUGGAUGCUUUUUGGCCUUCAAAAUGUUUUUUUGGAAAAAGAAGAAUGCCAGAAAGGUGUGCUAAUAAAAGAUUCACAAGAUGGUAUCCUAAGCAUGCCCAGUAAAUAAAAAAUGAACUAAAGAAACGAAGUCACCGUCAUUUACCACAAGAAAAUUUACUGAGAGGUUUCUUGUUUCACUUCAUCCACCCUUAAUCCAUACGAGAAGAUGUGUCACGGAGCAUUCGUCAUUUCAGUCCUUUUUUGUUCAGAGAUGUAGCGGCGGCGUUGAAGUGCCUUUUUUUGAUUGGGUACAUAUGCAGUGUUGCUGUUGCUAACGAAUGGAUUCACGAUAGAGAAUUGCCAACAAAUGAGAAAGAAUUGAAGUUAACUUUGAUGAUACCGAAACAACCAAUGCCUACAAUGUUUUCUCUGGACUUGAUUUUUGAUUCUUGAUUGGCUGUUGAAGUCUUCACCUUGCAACAUUAUGUAGUCAAUUUUCAACUGAUGAGCGAGAGCAGCUGUAGAUUUGCUUGAAUUCGAUUGAAACAAGCUUUCUGCUGUGGCAUUCCUCCUAGAAUAAAACUGGAUCACUGUACCUCCAGAUUACCCAAUAAAUGAGAGAUAAUUAAAGUUGCGGUUUAUCGUACUGAAACAGCCAAUGUCUACAAUGGUGUUGUUAUUCCUGGACAAUUUUUUCGUCUUCACCUAGGAACAUUCUGCAAUUAAUUUUCAACAGACGAAUGAGAGCAAGAGGAGAUUUAUUUGCAUUCCACUGAAACAACAAGUUUUCUGUUUUCACACCAGCAAACUUUGGAACGUUACAGGCUACAGUUAAUUAAGAUCGACGGUGGAGAAGACAAAGAAGACCCCGUAGUUGAAAUAGUUCUUUAUCUUGCAUGUUCUAUCUAAUAGAAUUAAUUCUUUAAGUCGAUAUUAUUCAAAUUAAUUUUUUAUUUUG
Molecule: long non-coding RNA, 1618 nt
Filed under: Agrilus planipennis (emerald ash borer)
Lineage: Eukaryota; Metazoa; Arthropoda; Insecta; Coleoptera; Buprestidae
Description: uncharacterized LOC108734897
Source: RNAcentral